Molecule: transfer RNA, 75 nt
Filed under: Pectinatus brassicae
Lineage: Bacteria; Bacillati; Bacillota; Negativicutes; Selenomonadales; Selenomonadaceae
Description: tRNA-Gln
Rfam family: tRNA
About the family: Transfer RNA (tRNA) molecules are approximately 80 nucleotides in length.
Source: RNAcentral
UGGGGUAUCGCCAAGCGGUAAGGCACGGGACUUUGACUCCCGCAUUCGUUGGUUCGAAUCCAGCUACCCCAGCCA